GAUGAACGCUGGCGGCGUGCUUAACACAUGCAAGUCGAACGGAAAGGCCCAAGCUUGCUUGGGUACUCGAGUGGCGAACGGGUGCGUAACACGUGGGUGAUCUGCCCUGCACUUCGGGAUAAGCCUGGGAAACUGGGUCUAAUACCGGAUAGGACGAUGGCUUGGAUGCCAUUGUGGAAAGUUUUUUCGGUGUGGGAUGAGCUCGCGGCCUAUCAGCUUGUUGGUGGGGUAAUGGCCUACCAAGGCGUCGACGGGUAGCCGGCCUGAGAGGGUGUACGGCCACAUUGGACCUGUGAGGCGGCCCAGACUCCUACGGGGGGCAGCAGUGUCGAAUAUUGGUCAAUGGGCGCAAGCCUGAGGCAGCGACGCCGGGUGGGGGAGGACGUCCUUCAGGUUGGAAACUCCUUUCGCUAGGGACGAAUCGUUUUUGUGACGGUAACUGGAGGAGAAGCACCGGCUAACUACGUG
RNAcentral lists this ribosomal RNA (468 nucleotides) under uncultured bacterium. Its description in RNAcentral is "partial 16S ribosomal RNA". It matches the Rfam family "Bacterial small subunit ribosomal RNA", at positions 28 to 507 of the family's 1533-position model. The record is from RNAcentral.